Molecule: ribosomal RNA, 487 nt
Filed under: uncultured bacterium
Lineage: Bacteria
Description: bacterial SSU rRNA
Rfam family: Bacterial small subunit ribosomal RNA
Source: RNAcentral
GAUGAACGCUAGCGGCAGGCUUAAUACAUGCAAGUCGUGGGGCAGCAUGGUGUAGCAAUACACUGAUGGCGACCGGCAAACGGGUGCGGAACACGUACGCAAUCUUCCCAAAACUGGUGAAUAGCCCUCCGAAAGGAGGAUUAAUACACCGUAACAUAAUGAAGUGGCAUCACUUUAUUAUUAUAGCUCCGGCGGUUUUGGAUGAGCGUGCGCCUGAUUAGGUAGUUGGCGGGGUAACGGCCCACCAAGCCUACGAUCAGUAACUGGUGUGAGAGCACGACCAGUCACACGGGCACUGAGACACGGGCCCGACUCCUACGGGAGGCAGCAGUAAGGAAUAUUGGUCAAUGGACGCAAGUCUGAACCAGCCAUGCCGCGUGGAGGAUGAAGGUCCUCUGGAUUGUAAACUUCUUUUAUCGGAGAAGAAACCCCAGUUUUCUUGCUGGGUUGACGGUACCCGAUGAAUAAGCACCGGCUAACUCCGUGC